Molecule: ribosomal RNA, 953 nt
Filed under: Acaulospora brasiliensis
Lineage: Eukaryota; Fungi; Glomeromycota; Glomeromycetes; Diversisporales; Acaulosporaceae
Description: eukaryotic LSU rRNA
Rfam family: Eukaryotic large subunit ribosomal RNA
Source: RNAcentral
UACCUCAAGUCAAGUAAGAAUACCCGCUGAACUUAAGCAUAUCAAUAAGCGGAGGAAAAGAAACUAACUAGGAUUCCCUUAGUAACGGCGAGUGAACUGGGAAAAGCUCAAAUUUUAAAUCACCUCGGUGAAUUGUAAUUUGAAGAAAGUGUUUUGACUUUUCAGUUUAAUCUAAAUCCUUUGGGAUGAGGUAUCAUAGAGGGUGAGAAUCCCGUUCUUGAUUAAACCUCGGAUUGCACUAAAUUCACUUUCCAAGAGUCGAGUUGUUUGGGAUUGCAGCUCCAAAUGGGUGGUAAAUUUCACCUAAGGCUAAAUAUAUGCAAGAGACCGAUAGCGAACAAGUACCGUGAGGGAAAGAUGAAAAGUACUUUGAAAAGAGAGUUAAACAGUACGUGAAAUUGUUGAAAGGGAAACGAUUGAAGUCAGUCAUGCUAGUGAGGAAUCAACUUGGUGGUUUACUUCCUUGUGCAUUUUCUCGCUUGGCAGGUUAGCAUCAAUUUUGGUUGUCAUCAAAGAAUUGGGGGGAAUGUGACUUUUCUUUGGUAAAGUGUUAUAGACCCUGAUUGAUGUGGCGACUGGGAUUGAGGUUUGCAGCGGAUGCCUCUUGUGGCUAGUCACCUGUCUUCUGACCGUCACCUCGUUUUUGACAGCUUGCUGAUGAUUGCGGGAUUUGGCGAUCUAGGAGUUAGAGUGAACAUAAAUUCGCUAAGGAUGCUGACGUAAUGGCUUUAAACGACCCGUCUUGAAACACGGACCAAGGAGUCUAACAUAUGUGCGAGUGUUUGGGUGAUAAAACCCGGAACGCGUAAUGAAAGUGAUUCUGGUGGGAACCCCUCRRGGUGCACCAUCGACCGAUCAGGAUAUUCUUUGAUAGAUUUGAGUGAGAGCACAUUUGUUGGGACCCARGAUGGUGAACUAUGCCUGAAUAGGGUGAAGCCAGAGGAAACUCUGGU